This is a long non-coding RNA of Balaenoptera musculus (blue whale), 257 nucleotides long. RefSeq lists it as uncharacterized. The transcript has 2 exons. Lineage: Eukaryota; Metazoa; Chordata; Mammalia; Artiodactyla; Balaenopteridae. The record is from RefSeq and is a predicted model, not a curated record.
AUCUCAGCCGCGAUGGUGGCUACCUCAUCGGGUACGACAGAGACUCGGCACACCUGGACCCCCAGGGAGCGCAGUGUCCGGCACAGAAAUGGCGGCAGACCCCUGGCCAGAAUCCCAGCCUCCAGCCACAGCGCUCUGCCCUGUGCCUCCUGAACAACUUUCCUAACGUGUCACUGUGAUUGCAUCACUCUUGGCUCAAAAGCCAUGUGUUGUUUCCAACCAUAUACAGAAUAAAGUUCAAAUUCAUUUGCAGAAUA